AUUUUUUUAAAUAUUCUCUAAUAAAAUUAAAAUCUGUUCUUAUCAGUUUAAUAUCUGAUACGUCCUCUAUCUGAGGACUAUAUAUUAAAUGGAUUUUUGGAACAGGGAGAUGGAAUAGGAGCUUGCUCCAUCCACUCCACGCAUCGACCUGGUAUUGCAGUACCUCCAGGAACGGUGCACCUCCC
This 185-nucleotide small nuclear RNA is filed under the name Terrapene triunguis (Three-toed box turtle). RNAcentral describes it as "Terrapene carolina triunguis (Three-toed box turtle) U2 spliceosomal RNA (ENSTMTG00000018075.1)". It matches the Rfam family "U2 spliceosomal RNA". Rfam says of the family: U2 is a small nuclear RNA (snRNA) component of the spliceosome (involved in pre-mRNA splicing). Complementary binding between U2 snRNA (in an area lying towards the 5' end but 3' to hairpin I) and the branchpoint sequence (BPS) of the intron results the bulging out of an unpaired adenosine, on the BPS, which initiates a nucleophilic attack at the intronic 5' splice site, thus starting the first of two transesterification reactions that mediate splicing. Lineage: Eukaryota; Metazoa; Chordata; Testudines; Emydidae. The record is from Rfam by way of RNAcentral.